This 332-nucleotide ribosomal RNA is filed under the name uncultured bacterium. Its description in RNAcentral is "bacterial SSU rRNA". It matches the Rfam family "Bacterial small subunit ribosomal RNA", at positions 568 to 898 of the family's 1533-position model. The record is from RNAcentral.
AGCGUAGGCGGGUAUUUAAGUUAGGAGUUUAAUUCUCGGGCUCAACCCGAGGCUGGCUUUUAAUACUGAAUAUCUUGAGUAUUGGAGAGGAUGAUGGAAUUCCAGGUGUAGCGGUGGAAUGCGUAGAUAUCUGGAAGAACACCAGUAGCGAAGGCGGUCAUCUGGCCAAAUACUGACGCUGAGGCUCGAAAGCUAGGGGAGCAAACAGGAUUAGAUACCCUGGUAGUCCUAGCCGUAAACGAUGGACACUAGUUGCCGGAGGAGUCAAUCUUUUCGGUGACGAAGUUAACGCAUUAAGUGUCCCGCCUGGGGAGUACGCUCGCAAGGGUGAA